RNAcentral lists this ribosomal RNA (449 nucleotides) under uncultured bacterium. RNAcentral's name for it is "partial 16S ribosomal RNA". It matches the Rfam family "Bacterial small subunit ribosomal RNA", at positions 29 to 523 of the family's 1533-position model. The record is from RNAcentral.
AACGAACGCUGGCGGCAGGCCUAACACAUGCAAGUCGAGCGAAGCCUUCGGGCAUAGCGGCGGACGGGUGAGUAACGCGUGGGAACGUGCCCUUUGCUACGGAAUAGCCCCGGGAAACUGGGAGUAAUACCGUAUGUGCCCUUCGGGGGAAAGAUUUAUCGGCAAAGGAUCGGCCCGCGUUGGAUUAGGUAGUUGGUGGGGUAAUGGCCUACCAAGCCGACGAUCCAUAGCUGGUUUGAGAGGAUGAUCAGCCACACUGGGACUGAGACACGGCCCAGACUCCUACGGGAGGCAGCAGUGGGGAAUCUUAGACAAUGGGGGAAACCCUGAUCUAGCCAUGCCGCGUGAUCGAUAAAGGCCUUAGGGUUGUAAAGAUCUUUCAGUGGGGAAGAUAAUGACUGUACCCACAGAAGAAGCCCCGGCUAACUCCGUGCCAGCCGCCGCGGUAA